CCUACGGGGGGCAGCAGUGGGGAAUAUUGGACAAUGGGCGAAAGCCUGAUCCAGCCAUGCCGCGUGUGUGAAGAAGGCCUUCGGGUUGUAAAGCACUUUCAGUGGGGAAGAAAGCCUUGGGGCUAAUACCCUCGAGGAAGGACAUCACCCACAGAAGAAGCACCGGCUAACUCCGUGCCAGCAGCCGCGGUAAUACGGAGGGUGCGAGCGUUAAUCGGAAUUACUGGGCGUAAAGCGCGCGUAGGCGGUCUGAUAAGCCGGUUGUGAAAGCCCCGGGCUCAACCUGGGAACGGCAUCCGGAACUGUCAGGCUAGAGUGCAGGAGAGGAAGGUAGAAUUCCCGGUGUAGCGGUGAAAUGCGUAGAGAUCGGGAGGAAUACCAGUGGCGAAGGCGGCCUUCUGGACUGACACUGACGCUGAGGUGCGAAAGCGUGGGUAGCAAACAGGAUUAAAUACCCGAGUAGUC
This 465-nucleotide ribosomal RNA is filed under the name Vreelandella stevensii. RNAcentral describes it as "partial 16S ribosomal RNA". It matches the Rfam family "Bacterial small subunit ribosomal RNA", at positions 338 to 795 of the family's 1533-position model. The record is from RNAcentral. Lineage: Bacteria; Pseudomonadati; Pseudomonadota; Gammaproteobacteria; Oceanospirillales; Halomonadaceae.